GCCACCACUUGAGGAACGUCGCGGAGUCAGACCACGCGUUGGCCUGCGAGAAGUGCUUCAGAGGUGGA
This 68-nucleotide microRNA precursor is filed under the name Ectocarpus siliculosus. RNAcentral describes it as "miR3456 stem-loop (esi-MIR3456)". The record is from miRBase by way of RNAcentral. Lineage: Eukaryota; Phaeophyceae; Ectocarpales; Ectocarpaceae.